GGGGGUGACAUGGCUUCGACGUGGGUCGCGAAACUCCGAGUGCAUGCCGAGGGACAGAGUACCUCGUAAAUCCAACUGUAAAACUUAUAGUUGCCAACGACGACAACUACGCACUAGCUGCUUAAAAACCAGUAAAUGCCUUCUGCCCGGAUCGUGCCUGUGCGUCCGGAUCGCAGGAGUCACCGACACAGGACCGCGGCA
Molecule: transfer-messenger RNA, 201 nt
Filed under: Gammaproteobacteria bacterium
Lineage: Bacteria; Pseudomonadati; Pseudomonadota; Gammaproteobacteria
Description: partial transfer-messenger RNA
Rfam family: transfer-messenger RNA
About the family: Bacterial tmRNA, also known as 10Sa RNA or SsrA, is named for its dual tRNA and mRNA-like properties. Its role is to liberate the mRNA from a stalled ribosome.
Source: RNAcentral